Molecule: long non-coding RNA, 934 nt
Filed under: Chrysemys picta bellii (western painted turtle)
Lineage: Eukaryota; Metazoa; Chordata; Testudines; Emydidae
Description: lncRNA (ENSCPBG00000006282.1)
Source: RNAcentral
AGCUUCUUCAUCAGCUGUGGGGAGAUCUCUCUCCUCUGCAACUGCAGCAUGAAAGGCCUGGCUUUGCAAACAGACUUCAAAGAUGCCACACUAUUAAAAAUACAUGGACAUCGUGUGGAUCUAAGCUAAAUACAUAUGGCCUUUGAUUGUCUGGCAUUUCCAAUUCAUACAAGAACAUUACUGGGAUGCAUUAUUGAUGAUCAGUAGCAUUUCACCGUCUCAAACCAAGGAUGUUUUUUUUUUUUCUUCUUCUCCCCAUCUCCUUGCUCAGAGAUUGAACUGUUUAAUUAAGCCUUGAUUAACUGUAUUUACAAUUCUAACUGUCACUGAUUUCGUUCUGGAACCUCUCCGGCUGCCAGCUGCACUCCUCGCUGUCAGAGACAGGGCGCCGUUCGUAAGGAAGCUCACCCCCCCAGAAGUCUCAGCUGCCUGCUGUGAUUGCCAGGGCACAUCUGUCCGGCGCGGUUUCUUGGCAUGCACAGAAGUAAAGUUGGAGCUGGUCUCUGGAUUGAAGCACCCGGCCGAUGCUGCUCUGGGGAGAAGGGGACGAGCCACCCAGCAAAUGAAGAGGAGGCUCCCGACUGUGAGAGGAAAGUGAAUCAUUUAUUCAGCUGGUGCAGGCUUGGUACUGCAGUGACAAGGGACAGGCCACUGCUGCGGGAAAGGUCAUGCUGCUGGGAGUCCCAGAUGGCACUGACAGGGUGCCGCUGUGGUCUCUGGAUGUUGUUACAACACGAGUCCCCUUCUCUGGUGUGUCUCAGGAGAAAGACCUCCUCCAGCCCUUCCGCUGUUCUGCUUUACUCUGUGUCCUCCUGUUUGGCUCUCUCCUGGCUGCCCACAUGCCAGCAGCGGAGCAUCAUGUGAACUGUGAGGAGGAUUUCAACCAUUCAAAGAUCUUUAUGUGCUACAACUGUGAAAUUGCACCCACGCAUGU